This 41-nucleotide transfer RNA is filed under the name Drosophila melanogaster (fruit fly). RNAcentral describes it as "partial tRNA-Ala". The record is from RNAcentral. Lineage: Eukaryota; Metazoa; Arthropoda; Insecta; Diptera; Drosophilidae.
NGGGUUGUAGUUAAAUAUAACAUUUGAUUUGCAUUCAAAAA